GUUUGAUGGAUUCUUUAUGUUUAAGUUUUAAAAAUUAUAAUUAUGUGGACUUGGUCCACAAGAAGAGAAAAGGUCCAAUCGACUUGCCCAAAACCCAGGCCCGUUUCGGAUGGGCCAACCUGAUCCAGACUCAACCCAGUUCGGACCUGACGGGUAUUGACCCGACUCGGUCAAGGAUCAACGGUUGAUCGGUCAAUGAUCGACAGUCAACGAUCAACGGUUGAUCGGUCGACCAAUGCUUGACCGAUCAACAGUUAACUUUUCAAAU
This 268-nucleotide long non-coding RNA is filed under the name Carica papaya (papaya). Its description in RNAcentral is "long non-coding RNA (CPAP_LNC009981)". Lineage: Eukaryota; Viridiplantae; Streptophyta; Magnoliopsida; Brassicales; Caricaceae. The record is from RNAcentral.